This 1397-nucleotide ribosomal RNA is filed under the name metagenome. Its description in RNAcentral is "bacterial SSU rRNA". It matches the Rfam family "Bacterial small subunit ribosomal RNA". The record is from RNAcentral.
CGGGUGAGUAAUGUCUGGGAAACUGCCUGAUGGAGGGGGAUAACUACUGGAAACGGUAGCUAAUACCGCAUAACGUCGCAAGACCAAAGAGGGGGACCUUCGGGCCUCUUGCCAUCGGAUGUGCCCAGAUGGGAUUAGCUAGUAGGCGGGGUAACGGCUCACCUAGGCGACGAUCCCUAGCUGGUCUGAGAGGAUGACCAGCCACACUGGAACUGAGACACGGUCCAGACUCCUACGGGAGGCAGCAGUGGGGAAUAUUGCACAAUGGGCGCAAGCCUGAUGCAGCCAUGCCGCGUGUAUGAAGAAGGCCUUCGGGUUGUAAAGUACUUUCAGCGGGGAGGAAAGGAGUAAAGUUAAUACCUUUGCUCAUUGACGUACCCGCAGAAGAAGCACCGGCUAACUCCGUGCCAGCAGCCGCGGUAAUACGGAGGGUGCAAGCGUUAAUCGGAAUUACUGGGCGUAAAGCGCACGCAGGCGGUUUGUUAGGUCAGAUGUGAAAUCCCCGGGCUCAACCUGGGAACUGCAUCUGAUACUGGCAAGCUUGAGUCUCGUAGAGGGGGGUAGAAUUCCAGGUGUAGCGGUGAAAUGCGUAGAGAUCUGGAGGAAUACCGGUGGCGAAGGCGGCCCCCUGGACGAAGACUGACGCUCAGGUGCGAAAGCGUGGGGAGCAUACAGGAUUAGAUACCCUGGUAGUCCACGCCGUAAACGAUGUCGACUUGGAGGUUGUGCCCUUGAGGCGUGGCUUCCGGAGCUAACGCGUUAAGUCGACCGCCUGGGGAGUACGGCCGCAAGGUUAAAACUCAAAUGAAUUGACGGGGGCCCGCACAAGCGGUGGAGCAUGUGGUUUAAUUCGAUGCAACGCGAAGAACCUUACCUGGUCUUGACAUCCACGGAAGUUUUCAGAGAUGAGAAUGUGCCUUCGGGAACCGUGAGACAGGUGCUGCAUGGCUGUCGUCAGCUCGUGUUGUGAAAUGUUGGGUUAAGUCCCGCAACGAGCGCAACCCUUAUCCUUUGUUGCCAGCGGUCCGGCCGGGAACUCAAAGGAGACUGCCAGUGAUAAACUGGAGGAAGGUGGGGAUGACGUCAAGUCAUCAUGGCCCUUACGACCAGGGCUACACACGUGCUACAAUGGCGCAUACAAAGAGAAGCGACCUCGUGAGAGCAAGCGGACCUCAUAAAGUGCGUCGUAGUCCGGAUAGGAGUCUGCAACUCGACUCCAUGAAGUCGGAAUCGCUAGUAAUCGUGGAUCAGAAUGCCACGGUGAAUACGUUCCCGGGCCUUGUACACACCGCCCGUCACACCAUGGGAGUGGGUUGCAAAAGAAGUAGGUAGCUUAACCUUCGGGAGGGCGCUUACCACUUUGUGAUUCAUGACUGGGGUGAAGUCGUAACAAGGUA